This 497-nucleotide ribosomal RNA is filed under the name uncultured bacterium. RNAcentral describes it as "partial 16S ribosomal RNA". It matches the Rfam family "Bacterial small subunit ribosomal RNA", at positions 28 to 507 of the family's 1533-position model. The record is from RNAcentral.
GAUGAACGCUGGCGGCGUGCCUAAUACAUGCAAGUCGAGCGAACGGACGAGAAGCUUGCUUCUCUGAUGUUAGCGGCGGACGGGGGAGUAACACGUGGAUAACCUACCUAUAAGACUGGGAUAACUUCGGGAAACCGGAGCUAAUACCGGAUAAUAUUUUGAACCGCAUGGUUCAAAAGUGAAAGACGGUCUUUCUGUCACUUAUAGAUGGAUCCGCGCUGCAUUAGCUAGUUGGUAAGGUAACGGCGUACCAAGGCAACGAUGCAUAGCCGACCUGAGAGGGGGGUCGGCCACACUGGAACUGAGACGCGGUCCAGACUCCUACGGGAGGCAGCAGUAGGGAAUCUUACUCCAUGGGCGAAAGCCUGACGGAGCAACGCCGCGUGAGUGGUGAAGGUCUUCGGAUCGUAAAACUCUGUUAUUAGGGAAGAACAUAUGUGUAAGUAACUGUGCGCAUCUUGACGGUACCUAAUCAGAAAGCCACGGCUAACUACGUG